Molecule: long non-coding RNA, 1043 nt
Organism: Xiphophorus couchianus (Monterrey platyfish)
Lineage: Eukaryota; Metazoa; Chordata; Actinopteri; Cyprinodontiformes; Poeciliidae
Exons: 2
Source: RefSeq, a predicted model, not a curated record
AUUUGGUUUUAAAAUCUUUUCACGUUUUUCCUCCAUUCUGGUUCCAUCCUGGAGGAAAAAUCGCUUCAAUUAAUCAUCAAAAGGAUCAAAGUUAAUGAGAUUCAAGCCGACGAUGAGCGGGUGGAAACUUCUCUCUCGCCUGGAUCUGUCAUGAAUUGCGGUGGUGUGAGGCAGACGCUAUGAGACCCAGAACCUCCUCCGGCUCCGGCCCGCUCAUGGCCCGCACGGAUCCAUCCCCUCGGUCUGCAGAUGAAUUGAUCCGGCUGCCUCCACUCGGCCGGUUGAUUAAUGGCGUCGUGCGGCGCAGCUUCAGGUUGCUGCAGGUUGGAGAUGAGACGGAGAGACGGGCAGCUGCUGCUGGAAGCAGGAAUAAAACCAGACAGAGACCCAACGAGGUUCUGAUUGAUACGGUAAAAGUUUCUGACUGGACAAAAGCAGCGAUAAAUCAGCAGGUUUUAUUCUGCAGAUGAAGCAAAGAGCCGCAAUGCAGCCGAACCGGAUCAAUCACCGAAACUGGAUCAAUAUCAAGUGUCAGCAGGGACUUAUAACGAUCAAUGAUCAGUUCUGGAUGGAUGAUAGAUUUAUUAACCCAUUCAUUUUUAAAAAUUCAUUUUAAUUUCAUUUCCUGACUGGUUCAACCAACUUUACUUUAGGGAGAGAUCACCAAUCCAACAUCAUGAAAACUCCAAUUUAUUAAAUGAAUUUAAUUUAUUUAAAUUCAUGUUUAAUAACAAACAUCAGAGUUUCAUCGUCAUGAAACCAGACAUGGAUCUGGAAAUAAUAAAGGUGAAAUUUCCUCUGAUUUUGAGGCUUUUACUGCAUCGUUCCUGUGAAUCUUGAUAAAUGAGCCUUGAAGAAAAGCUGAGCUGGAGAAGAUAAGAAAUGUCUUCAGGUCGAUUUUCUAAUAUUGAAUAGAAAAUAACGCAACAGAAAAAAUCACAAUUUCUGUCUGACGAGUCAGGAUGUGUUGGAUUUGACAGAAGGUCUUUAGAGUCACCGAGCGGUCAGUGAAUGCAGCAUCAGACCAGCAGAGGAAAGGAAGA